Molecule: long non-coding RNA, 2834 nt
Filed under: Bactrocera tryoni
Lineage: Eukaryota; Metazoa; Arthropoda; Insecta; Diptera; Tephritidae
Description: uncharacterized LOC120766807
Source: RNAcentral
UAUGUACUUUCAUUAAACGUGGUUAUAUGCAAAAUACAUAUUUAUUUUUUUAGUUCACAAGUGGAUAUAACCUCUUUAAUCUCACUUAACACUCAACGAACAAUACAACAAAAAGUUCAAAGCAAAAACCAAAUAGGCAGCAAAAGAAAUUGAGGUUAUGUAUAUAAAUAUUUUGUUAUUCAAUCACGUUAUUAAUGCGCUAAUCAAAUUAGUUCACAUGCUUGUAAAAUUUAUAGAUUAUAUUAUUUAUAUUUAAUAUAAAUAAUAAUGUAUUGUAAUAAUAGUUAUCAGCCAAAAUUUUCUAUUUUCGAUUUGAAUCGCAUUUAGGGAAAGCCAGGAUAGCGCGCUAUGUCGCAUAAAUAAAUUAUAUAAUUGAAUACACCACUUACAUAUAUGUAUAUGCAUGUUAAUGUACCCUGGAGGAAAAAUGGCUUUAAGUGUAUUUUAAAAGUUUACAGAUUCAUCAUAUUAUAAAAGAUUGAUUGAGUAAAACCAAUGAUACAUUAAAGUGUAACAUUCGUAGAAUGUUCUACGAUGUUUUCAUUUCGAAAAAAUAUUAUACGGCAACGGAGUAAAAUAUUUUAUGAAAUUAUAUAUUCUCCAUGAGCCAAGAGAUUGAUUCCGCGCACAUAAAAUGUUUGAUCUUUUCAGGCAAAAAAACUGGUUCAAAUGGUUUUUGAGAUCCUGAUUUGAGGUGAAGGUUUUCCUGACCAAACAAUUUUUCGGAGAACGAAAUAAUUAAAGGAUCGAAGAUAGUAAAGCUAAGAGAAUAUGGUGGGCACAUUCUAUUCCAGCUGCAAGGCAAGUCAUCAAACUUGUACAUUGUUUCGUGUUAUCUUUGUGGAACACCACACCUUUUCUAUUGAUCAAUUCUGGUCUACUCUGUCAGAGUGUAUCACUCAAUUUUUCCAGCAUAUCGCAUUGUACUUCAGAAUUAUUCGUAGUAUUAUCGGUAUAAACCAUCUUCUUGAAGUAGCACCAAAUAGACAAGAUAACCUUUUCUUGGUGACUAACAGCCUUCGAAGUGGUUUAGUGGUUUGAGUGGUUAGACCAUGAUCUUUUGCGCUUUACAUUCUUAUAAAUAAACCACUUUUCGUCGCCAGUAAGCAAAUCUCAGUCGUUAAACUGUCGAAAUAAAUCUCGCUCUAUAAGAACAUGAGGAACCAUAUGUCAAGCUUCGUAAUUAAUCCUAGUCGUUUUUCUAAAGUUGUUAUUCGACGAUUUGCAUCUAUCAACGACUAUAUAUUAUUCACAUCGGCUUCAAGCGUCUUUCCAAGAUAUGGUGCAUCGUCAAGAUUGAAAUUGCCGGAAUUCGUCGUGAUUGAACUGGAUUUUUUACGCUUUUGAUAGUAAAACAGUAAAAUUUGCAAAUGCUGUUUUUAAGCUUCCUUUAACCGAUAAAGUAUCAAAAAUUAAUUUUUUUUACAAACAUAACAUACUAGUAUAUCAGCUGUUCUAAUAUAUAAGGGUAAAGCGGUUAAGUACGAUGUUGGCUGCGAAAAAUUCAAAGAAUCAGCUGUUGUCAUCAAACGAAAUUACUUAAUGAUCAAAUCUUGAAAAUGAUCGGCCUUGUAGUUUUGAAGUUAUGAGGAAAACCAAUUUUGAAAAAGUGAAUCGUGCAGAAGAAAAACGCUCUAAAGUGAAAAUCUGGUGGAAACCAUUCAUAAGAACAGUAAAAAAAUAUUUUUAACUUCGUCAGUUUUGUCCCAACGACUUGAAAUUUUGACACAAUAUUAUUGAAAUUAUUCCUUCAAUUAAGGUGAGGUGGUUAGAUAGUUAGAUAAAGCAUCAGUAUCAGAUAGAAGAAACAGAAUCACAAAUAUGAUCUUAAGUGCAGAAGAAUAAUGGAACAAAGAGCAAAACCAAAUGAAGCAUGGCAUGGAUAUAUUGAAAAAAAGUGAUUAACUCGCAAUAUUCCAUUUUAGAAAAUUAAAAAUGGGAAGAUCUUUGCAACAAUAGCAACAACGAUUUGUGAGACUAUUGGCAUAAACUUGCUAUGGAGAAACUAAGCAGUGAAGAUACGGAAUAUAUGUAACUGCAUUCAUGGAACAAAGAGCGAAGUACAUACUAAAACAAAAUACAAGUACUUGAAAUAAAUACCAAAGAUUUAUUAGAGCAUAAAUAGUAAGUACAUAGAGACACUAACUAAUAGAGGUAAUCGAAAAAACACACACACACAAACAAAGUCAAAAAUUAAAAUCAGAAGAAAUACUCCAAAUAUACUAAAGACAACAAACACUUCAUAUACACAUUUAUAUAGAUAAAUAGCAAAGCACAUUAAUACAAACGUAUGAAUGUGAAAAGAAUUUGUACUUAGCCGCUUUUGUAUGUUCAUAUUCAAUAUUAACUAUUAGCUGUCAAAAAGUAUACUAAAUACAUAGAUUAUAUAUACAAACAAAUGAAAUGAAAUUAAUUGAACUAAGAACAGUCGCAGAAUUAAAUAAAAAUAUAUUCAUUAGGGUGUGCGUUAUUUUACAAGUUGAAUUUUUUCAAGUGCCCACUGAAGUUUCAGUUUUUGAGAUUAUGUCACAAACAGGGUCCAACCGAAAAAACUGUUUUUUUUUUAUUUAAACCGCGCUUAAAUCAUAUUUAUUUUCUUAUAAGAUUUUUUAUCUUUUGAUUUUUUGCAUUAAAUUACUGCAAAUCCCUACCAUAAAGAUUUUGGUGAUUUUUUCUAUAAAACCAACUUUUUAAAGUUAUACGCAAUUAAAAUUCUUUAUCAAAUGCAAACUGAAACAGGGAGCGCUUGUAAAACACGAACCUACUUGUGAAAUAACGGACAUCCUUAUAUUCAUAUCUGCGUGAGCUAUGUGGGAUAGCUAGCUAAAAAAAAA